GAUGAACGCUGGCGGCGUGCCUAAUACAUGCGAGUCGAGCGAACAGACGAGGAGCUUGCUCCUCUGACGUUAGCGGCGGACGGGUGAGUAACACGUGGAUAACCUACCUAUAAGACUGGGAUAACUUCGGGAAACCGGAGCUAAUACCGGAUAACAUGUUGAACCGCAUGGUUCAACAGUGAAAGACGGUCUUGCUGUCACUUAUAGAUGGAUCCGCGCCGCAUUAGCUAGUCGGUAAGGUAACGGCUUACCAAGGCAACGAUGCGUAGCCGACCUGAGAGGGUGAUCGGCCACACUGGAACUGAGACACGGUCCAGACUCCUACGGGAGGCAGCAGUAGGGAAUCUUCCGCAAUGGGCGUAAGCCUGACGGAGCAACGCCGCGUGAGUGAAGAAGGUCUUCGGAUCGUAAAACUCUGUUAUUAGGGAAGAACAAAUGUGUAAGUAACUAUGCACGUCUUGACGGUACCUAAUCAGAAAGCCACGGCUAACUACGUG
Molecule: ribosomal RNA, 497 nt
Filed under: uncultured bacterium
Lineage: Bacteria
Description: partial 16S ribosomal RNA
Rfam family: Bacterial small subunit ribosomal RNA
Source: RNAcentral